GCAUUGGUGGUUCAGUGGGAGAAUUCUCACCUUCCAUGCGGGAGACCCAGGCUCGAUUCUUGGCCAACGCG
RNAcentral lists this transfer RNA (71 nucleotides) under Loxodonta africana (African savanna elephant). It matches the Rfam family "tRNA". Rfam says of the family: Transfer RNA (tRNA) molecules are approximately 80 nucleotides in length. Lineage: Eukaryota; Metazoa; Chordata; Mammalia; Proboscidea; Elephantidae. The record is from Rfam by way of RNAcentral.